Molecule: ribosomal RNA, 524 nt
Filed under: uncultured bacterium
Lineage: Bacteria
Description: bacterial SSU rRNA
Rfam family: Bacterial small subunit ribosomal RNA
Source: RNAcentral
AAUAGAUACCCAGGUAGUCCACGCCGUAAACGAUGUCUACUAGUCGUUGGGGAACUUGAUUCCUUAGUGACGCAGCUAACGCAAUAAGUAGACCGCCUGGGGAGUACGGCCGCAAGGUUAAAACUCAAAUGAAUUGACGGGGGCCCGCACAAGCGGUGGAGCAUGUGGUUUAAUUCGAUGCAACGCGAAGAACCUUACCUGGUCUUGACAUAUCUAGAAUCCUGCAGAGAUGCGGGAGUGCCUUCGGGAAUUAGAAUACAGGUGCUGCAUGGCUGUCGUCAGCUCGUGUCGUGAGAUGUUGGGUUAAGUCCCGCAACGAGCGCAACCCUUUUCCUUAGUUACCAGCGGUUCGGCCGGGGACUCUAAGGAUACUGCCAGUGACAAACUGGAGGAAGGCGGGGACGACGUCAAGUCAUCAUGGCCCUUACGACCAGGGCUACACACGUGCUACAAUGGUAGGUACAGAGGGCUGCUACACAGCGAUGUGAUGCGAAUCUCAAAAAGCCUAUCGUAGUCCAGAUUGG